GACGAACGCUGGCGGCGUGCUUAACACAUGCAAGUCGAACGGAAAGGCCCUGCUUUUGUGGGGUGCUCGAGUGGCGAACGGGUGAGUAACACGUGAGUAACCUGCCCUUGACUUUGGGAUAACUUCAGGAAACUGGGGCUAAUACCGGAUAGGAGCUCCUGCUGCAUGGUGUGGGUUGGAAAGUUUCGGCGGUUGGGGAUGGACUCGCGGCUUAUCAGCUUGUUGGUGGGGUAGUGGCUUACCAAGGCUUUGACGGGUAGCCGGCCUGAGAGGGUGACCGGCCACAUUGGGACUGAGAUACGGCCCAGACUCCUACGGGAGGUAGCAGUGGGGAAUAUUGCACAAUGGGCGGAAGCCUGAUGCAGCAACGCCGCGUGCGGGAUGACGGCCUUCGGGCUGUAAACCGCUUUCGCCUGUGACGAAGCGUGAGUGACGGUAAUGGGUAAAGAAGCACCGGCUAACUACGUG
Molecule: ribosomal RNA, 468 nt
Filed under: uncultured bacterium
Lineage: Bacteria
Description: partial 16S ribosomal RNA
Rfam family: Bacterial small subunit ribosomal RNA
Source: RNAcentral